UGUGUUCAUCAUCCAAACUCUUCUUUUUCUCAUCAUCCAA
Molecule: small RNA, 40 nt
Filed under: Arabidopsis thaliana (thale cress)
Lineage: Eukaryota; Viridiplantae; Streptophyta; Magnoliopsida; Brassicales; Brassicaceae
Description: ATSL109790
Source: RNAcentral